Molecule: ribosomal RNA, 421 nt
Filed under: uncultured bacterium
Lineage: Bacteria
Description: bacterial SSU rRNA
Rfam family: Bacterial small subunit ribosomal RNA
Source: RNAcentral
GAGGAAUAUUGGACAAUGGAUGGAAAUCUGAUCCAGCCAUGCCGCGUGCAGGAAGACGGCCCUAUGGGUUGUAAACUGCUUUUGUAUGGGAGCAAUAAGGACUACGUGUAGUUUGAUGAGAGUACCAUACGAAUAAGCAUCGGCUAACUCCGUGCCAGCAGCCGCGGUAAUACGGAGGAUGCGAGCGUUAUCCGGAUUUAUUGGGUUUAAAGGGUGCGUAGGCGGCGAUAUAAGUCAGUGGUGAAAUAUUUCGGCUUAACCGAGAGACUGCCAUUGAUACUGUGUUGCUAGAACAUGGUUGCUGUGAGUGGAAUGUGUGGUGUAGCGGUGAAAUGCUUAGAUAUCACACAGAAUAUCGAUUGCGAAGGCAGCUCACAAAGCCAUUAUUGACGCUGAGGCACGAAAGUGUGGGGAUCAAACA